RNAcentral lists this ribosomal RNA (370 nucleotides) under uncultured eukaryote. RNAcentral's name for it is "partial 18S ribosomal RNA". It matches the Rfam family "Eukaryotic small subunit ribosomal RNA", at positions 592 to 976 of the family's 1831-position model. The record is from RNAcentral.
CAAUAGCGUAUAUUAAAGUUGUUGCAGUUAAAAAGCUCGUAGUUGGACCUUGGACCUGGACAGGCGGUCCGCCUCACGGCGAGUACUGUCUUGCUGGGUCUUUCCUCUUGGUGAUCUGUUGUUUCGGCAGCAGGGAACCAGGACCUUUACUUUGAAAAAAUUAGAGUGUUCAAAGCAGGCUCGACGCCGGAAUAUAUUAGCAUGGAAUAAUAAAAUAGGACGUGCGGUUCUAUUUUGUUGGUUUUUGGAAUCGCCGUAAUGAUUAAUAGGGACAGUCGGGGGCAUUAGUACCCACAUGCUAGAGGUGAAAUUCUUGGAUUUUGUGAAGACUAACUUCUGCGAAAGCAUUUGCCAAGGAUGUUUUCAUUAA